RNAcentral lists this ribosomal RNA (442 nucleotides) under uncultured bacterium. Its description in RNAcentral is "partial 16S ribosomal RNA". It matches the Rfam family "Bacterial small subunit ribosomal RNA", at positions 338 to 795 of the family's 1533-position model. The record is from RNAcentral.
CCUACGGGAGGCAGCAGUAGGGAAUCUUUCACAAUGGGCGAAAGCCUGAUGGAGCAACGCCGCGUGCAGGAUGAAGGCCUUCGGGUUGUAAACUGCUUUUAUAAGCGAGAAAUAUGAUGGUAACUUAUGAAUAAGGAUCGGCUAACUACGUGCCAGCAGCCGCGGUCAUACGUAGGAUCCGAGCAUUAUCCGGAGUGACUGGGUGUAAAGAGUUGCGUAGGUGGCAUAAUAAGUAGCUAGUGAAAUCUGGUGGCUCAACCAUUCAGACUAUUAGCUAAACUGUUAAGCUCGAGACCGUUAGGGGUAACUGGAAUUUCUAGUGUAGGAGUGAAAUCCGUAGAUAUUAGAAGGAACACCAAUAGCGUAGGCAGGUUGCUGGGACGGUUCUGGCACUAAGGCACGAAAGCGUAGGGAGCAAACGGGAUUAGAUACCCGUGUAGUC